This is a long non-coding RNA of Bos taurus (domestic cattle), 1993 nucleotides long. The record is from Ensembl. Lineage: Eukaryota; Metazoa; Chordata; Mammalia; Artiodactyla; Bovidae.
GGGUGCCACCACGCUUCUUUCUAGGCGGUAUCUGUUCACCUGUACCUGCGUCCCUAGCAGCUUGGGAGCCCUGCCAGUGCCCCUGGAACUGAACUCCCAGGUGGUGCCAACAGCCCCAGCUUCUCCAAGAGCCAUUCGACUUCCGCCUUGUUCCUUCCCCCCUUCCAAGAGAGCUGGUGCUUCGAGAAACUGCCACAGAUGGGCCAAGGAGAAACACACAUGCUUGUUUUUAAUUUACUUGAAAUCCUCUUUUCUUGGUGCUACUGGGACGGGCGGCUGCCAGGCUCUCCCGGCCGAGCGGCUGGGGACUCGGCCCCAAGGACCGACUCGCUGCAGCGGAGGGAUGAGCUGCUUCAGGCCCAGUCCCUUCCCGGGGGCCCUCUCCUGGCCAGGAUCUCUCCGUCCUUGGAUUUGGUCCUUGGGCUGUAGCACCCCCUGAGCCCCCAGGGCUGUGCCCGGAGCUGCUCCCCUGUGCCUGAGUGCAGCCACUGUCCCUUAGCAGGAGGGAGCAGGGGUUCCCCAUUUUCAGAUGGGGCGACAGGCUCAGAGAACCGAGGAGCUUAGAGCAGUGGUACCGCAGGACUUCCCUGUAGGACAGUCUGUUGGUUCCAGGGGCUCCUUCCGCACGGCUGGCCUGUCCAGAUCAGCAAGGAGCUAGCUGGUUGCAAGUGAUAGAAACGUUUCUCCCAUCUUCCCUGAGCCAGCUCAUGGCCUGAGGUACUGGCUCACUGGCGUGGCACCAAGGUCAAUCCCUUCCCUCCUUGGGGUCUUAGCCUCUACCUGCUGACUGAGGGGAUGGAUCAGAUGAUGCCUGUGGGUCUGAUAUUUGGACUCCAUGAAUGAUAUGCUCUCAGGUCUCCUGAUCUUGAGAGGCCGGGAGGAUGGGGACUUUGACGUGAGAGGGAGAAUCAACUGAGAGUUGUGCAGUAGAGUGGCUUGAACUUGCCGUGGUGGCCCUGCUGUUGGUGGGCUUUGUGAGUUGGGGCAAGUUGCUUCACCUCUCUGAGCUUCGGCUUCAUCGGCUAUUCAAAGCAAGGUAAUGAUCCCACCCUCACUGAUGGAAACACAGGCAUCGGCUAAAGCUGUUGGUGUCUGGUGACAAGCAAACACUCUCCAAACGGUAGUUGCCACGGCUGUUUAUCAUUCUCAUCCUUGUUGUUACACGGUUUUUUUUUUUUUUUAAUGAAUUGGAGAAAGUCCCAGCUCUUACAUACCAAAAAGGUCUCCGGUCCAACUUCUGUUUUUUACAAACUGGGAAACCAAGUCAAGAGAAGGGAAAUGCCGCUCUCAACCUGGGAUCAAAAGAGACUUGGAAGAACUCUGUUUUGCCCUCUGCCUUCUCUUCCCCACAGAUGGAGAAAUAAAAGCACAUGCAUUGAGGACUUCCCUGGUAGUCCAAUGGUUAAGAAUCUGCCUUACAAUGCAGGGUAUGUGGGUUUGAUCCCUGGCUGGAGAACUAAGAUCCCACGUGCCGAGGAGCAGCUAAGCCCAUGUGCCACAACUAGGGAGUUACGUUGUACUGAAAGCUCCUGCCUGCUACAACUGAGACGUGGGAAGAUCCCAUGUGACACAACAAAGAUCCUGAUGCAGCCAAGUGUCCCUGGAAUCUUCUACCAGCUGACCUUACAUGGGGCCAUCUCAGUACCUUGAUUUUUAGCUCACCCAUUGCUGACCAUCCCAAAGACUGUUUCCCAGCUUCCCUUGUAGCUAAGUGAGUCAUUUAUGGGCAAAUGGGAUAUGAACAGCGGUGUCCUAUGGGACUUCCAGAAUUCAUCUUAAAAAAUUAGGAGCAUGCCCUUCUUGGAUCCUUCCUGUGCCUGGCUGUCUGGAACAUGGGUGUGAUGGCUGGAAUGCUAGCAGCCAUCUGAGAUCACAAGGGUCACAUUUUAGUGAUGGUAGGGCAGCGUGCUAGAGAGAACCAAGGUUCCUGAUGGCCUUGUGUCCUUCAUAUCCGUUCUGUAUUUCCUACUUCUGGGUCUCUUUAAUGUGAGAG